Molecule: long non-coding RNA, 290 nt
Filed under: Calidris pugnax (ruff)
Lineage: Eukaryota; Metazoa; Chordata; Aves; Charadriiformes; Scolopacidae
Description: lncRNA (ENSCPUG00000004435.1)
Source: RNAcentral
UUACCCUACUUUCUGAUUUACGUUACUAAAGCUUUUGGAGAUUCCCAAGUGGAACGUAAAUACAAAACAAAGCAAGAAAGUCCUGUUUUAUUCCACCAGGAGGAAAAUCAGUAAAUGUUAUCUAGCCCUUUAUGUGGAACUUUCUAAUGUGUUCUUUGGAGAGGACCGAACCCUGCAUUCAAUUAUGCAUGAUAUGCUGCAGAUGUUGUCGUCCAUGCAUCUCUGGGAGGUAUUUUGUACCUCAUGAAAGAAGGAAAAAGAGCCUUGAUUCGGAUCCCAGUCUUCACUGA